AACUGUUAAUCUAGAGAUUGAAAGAGGAUAGAGGAAUUCCUAGUGUAGAGGUAAAAUUCGUAAAUAUUAGGAGGAACACCAGUGGCGAAGGCGUCUAUCUGGUUCAAAUCUGACGCUGAGGCGCGAAGGCGUGGGGAGCAAACAGGAUUAGAUACCCUGGUAGUCCACGCUGUAAACGAUGAAUGUUAAAUAUGGGAAAUUUAUUUUCUGUAUUACAGCUAACGCGUUAAACAUUCCGCCUGGGGACUACGGUCGCAAGAUUAAAACUCAAAGGAAUUGACGGGGACCCGCACAAGCGGUGGAGCAAGUGGUUUAAUUCGAUGCAACGCGAAAAACCUUACCACUCCUUGACAUGGAAAUCAUACCUAUUCAAAGGGAUAGGGUCGGUUCGGCCGGAUUUCACACAGGUGUUGCAUGGCUGUCGUCAGCUCGUGUCAUGAGAUGUUGGGUUAAGUCCCGCAACGAGCGCAACCCUCAUCCUUAGUUACCAUCAGAUAAUGCUGGGGACUUUAAGGAAACUGCUAGUGAUAAACUGGAGGAAGGUGGGGAUGAUGUCAAGUCAUCAUGGCCCUUAUGGAGUGGGCUACACACGUGCUACAAUGGUGGCUACAAUGGGCUGCAAGGUCGCGAGGCUAAGCUAAUCCCUUAAAAGCCAUCUCAGUUCGGAUUGCACUCUGCAACUCGAGUGCAUGAAGUUGGAAUCGCUAGUAAUCGUGGAUCAGCAUGCCACGGUGAAUACGUUCUCGGGUCUUGU
This 754-nucleotide ribosomal RNA is filed under the name Armadillidium vulgare (common pillbug). RNAcentral describes it as "bacterial SSU rRNA". It matches the Rfam family "Bacterial small subunit ribosomal RNA", at positions 631 to 1384 of the family's 1533-position model. Lineage: Eukaryota; Metazoa; Arthropoda; Malacostraca; Isopoda; Armadillidiidae. The record is from RNAcentral.